RNAcentral lists this ribosomal RNA (639 nucleotides) under Ganoderma carnosum. Its description in RNAcentral is "eukaryotic LSU rRNA". It matches the Rfam family "Eukaryotic large subunit ribosomal RNA", at positions 1 to 625 of the family's 3401-position model. The record is from RNAcentral. Lineage: Eukaryota; Fungi; Basidiomycota; Agaricomycetes; Polyporales; Polyporaceae.
UGACCUCAAAUCAGGUAGGACUACCCGCUGAACUUAAGCAUAUCAAUAAGCGGAGGAAAAGAAACUAACAAGGAUUCCCCUAGUAACUGCGAGUGAAGCGGGAAAAGCUCAAAUUUAAAAUCUGGCGGUCUUCGGCCGUCCGAGUUGUAGUCUGGAGAAGUGCUUUCCGCGCUGGACCGUGUAUAAGUCUCUUGGAACAGAGCGUCAUAGAGGGUGAGAAUCCCGUCUUUGACACGGACUACCAGUGCUUUGUGAUGCGCUCUCAAAGAGUCGAGUUGUUUGGGAAUGCAGCUCAAAAUGGGUGGUGAAUUCCAUCUAAAGCUAAAUAUUGGCGAGAGACCGAUAGCGAACAAGUACCGUGAGGGAAAGAUGAAAAGCACUUUGGAAAGAGAGUUAAACAGUACGUGAAAUUGCUGAAAGGGAAACGCUUGAAGUCAGUCGCGUCGUCCGGAACUCAGCCUUGCUUCCGCUUGGUGCACUUUCCGGAUGACGGGUCAGCAUCGAUUUUGACCGUCGGAAAAGGGCUGGAGUAAUGUGGCACCUCCGGGUGUGUUAUAGACUCUGGUCGCAUACGGCGGUUGGGAUCGAGGAACGCAGCGCGCCGCAAGGCAGGGGUUCGCCCACUUCGCGCUUAGGAUG